CAGUAGCCGCGGUAAAACGUAGGUGGCAAGCGUUGUCCGGAAUUAUUGGGCGUAAAGGGCUCGCAGGCGGUUUCUUAAGUCUGAUGUGAAAGCCCCCGGCUCAACCGGGGAGGGUCAUUGGAAACUGGGAAACUUGAGUGCAGAAGAGGAGAGUGGAAUUCCACGUGUAGCGGUGAAAUGCGUAGGGAUGUGGAGGAACACCAGUGGCGAAGGCGACUCUCUGGUCUGUAACUGACGCUGAGGAGCGAAAGCGUGGGGAGCGAACAGGAUUAGAUACCCCGGUAGUCCCUGUCUCUUAUAA
Molecule: ribosomal RNA, 301 nt
Filed under: uncultured bacterium
Lineage: Bacteria
Description: partial 16S ribosomal RNA
Rfam family: Bacterial small subunit ribosomal RNA
Source: RNAcentral